GAUGAACGCUGGCGGCGUGCCUAAUACAUGCAAGUCGAGCGAACGGACGAGAAGCUUGCUUCUUUUAUGUUAGCGGCGGACGGGUGAGUAACACGUGGAUAACCUACCUAUAAGACUGGGAUAACUUCGGGAAACCGGAGCUAAUACCGGAUAAUAUUUUGAACCGCAUGGUUCAAAAGUGAAAGACGGUCUUGCUGUCACUUAUAGAUGGAUCCGCGCUGCAUUAGCUAGUUGGUAAGGUAACGGCUUACCAAGGCAACGAUGCAUAGCCGACCUGAGAGGGUGAUCGGCCACACUGGAACUGAGACACGGUCCAGACUCCUACGGGAGGCAGCAGUAGGGAAUCUUCCGCAAUGGGCGAAAGCCUGACGGAGCAACGCCGCGUGAGUGAUGAAGGUCUUCGGAUCGUAAAACUCUGUUAUUAGGGAAGAACAUAUGUGUAAGUAACUGUGCACAUCUUGACGGUACCUAAUCAGAAAGCCCCGGCUAACUACGUG
This 497-nucleotide ribosomal RNA is filed under the name uncultured bacterium. RNAcentral's name for it is "partial 16S ribosomal RNA". It matches the Rfam family "Bacterial small subunit ribosomal RNA", at positions 28 to 507 of the family's 1533-position model. The record is from RNAcentral.